This 712-nucleotide ribosomal RNA is filed under the name gamma proteobacterium IMCC14394. RNAcentral's name for it is "bacterial SSU rRNA". It matches the Rfam family "Bacterial small subunit ribosomal RNA", at positions 39 to 749 of the family's 1533-position model. The record is from RNAcentral. Lineage: Bacteria; Pseudomonadati; Pseudomonadota; Gammaproteobacteria.
GCGGCAGGCCUAACACAUGCAAGUCGAGCGCGAAAACACUUCGGUGUGAGUAGAGCGGCGGACGGGUGAGUAAUGCUUGGGAAUCUGCCCAGUAGUGGGGGAUAACGUGUGGAAACGCACGCUAAUACCGCAUACUUCCUACGGGAGAAAGCAGGGGAUCUUCGGACCUUGCGCUAUUGGAUGAGCCCAAGUCGGAUUAGCUAGUUGGUGGGGUAAUGGCCUACCAAGGCGACGAUCCGUAGCUGGUCUGAGAGGAUGAUCAGCCACACUGGGACUGAGACACGGCCCAGACUCCUACGGGAGGCAGCAGUGGGGAAUAUUGCACAAUGGGCGAAAGCCUGAUGCAGCCAUGCCGCGUGUGUGAAGAAGGCUCUAGGGUUGUAAAGCACUUUCAGUAGGGAGGAAAAGCUUAAGGUUAAUAACCUUGAGCCCUGACGUUACCUACAGAAGAAGCACCGGCAAACUCCGUGCCAGCAGCCGCGGUAAUACGGAGGGUGCGAGCGUUAAUCGGAAUUACUGGGCGUAAAGCGCGCGUAGGUGGUUUGAUAAGCUAGCUGUGAAAGCCCCGGGCUCAACCUGGGAACUGCAGUUAGAACUGUCUGACUAGAGUACAGUAGAGGGUGGCGGAAUUUCCUGUGUAGCGGUGAAAUGCGUAGAUAUAGGAAGGAACAUCAGUGGCGAAGGCGGCCACCUGGACUGAUACUGACACUGA